CUGGCGGCGUGCCUACCACAUGCAAUUCGAGCGAUGAAGCCUUCGGGGUGAAUUACCGCCGGACGGGUGAGUUACACGUGGGGUACCUGCCGUUAUAGAGGGGAUAAGCCUUCCGAAAGGAAGAUUUAUACCGCAUAACAUGUUUUUAUCGCUUGGUUGGAACCGUGAAAGGAGUAAUCCGCUAUAAGAUGGACCCGCGGCGCAUUAGCUAGUUGGUGAGGUAACGGCCCACCAAGGCGACGAUGCGUAGCCGACCUGAGAGGGUGAUCGGCCACAUUGGAACUGAGACACGGUGGAGACUCUACGGGAGGUAGCAGUGGGGAAUAUUGCGCAAUGGGGGAAACCCUGACGCAGCAACGCCGCGUGAAUGAAGAAGGCCUUAGGGUUGUAAAGUUCUGUUUUCUGGGACGAUAAUGACGGUACCAGAGGAGGAAGCCACGGCUAACUACGUGCCAGCAGCCGCGGUAAUACGUAGGUGGCAAGCGUUGUCCGGAUUUACUGGGCGUAAAGGAUGCGUAGGCGGAUGUUUAAGUGAGAUGUGAAAUACCCGAGCUCAACUUGGGUGCUGCAUUUCAAACUGGAUAUCUAGAGUGCAGGAGAGGAAAGCGGAAUUCCUAGUGUAGCGGUGAAAUGCGUAGAGAUUAGGAAGAACACCAGUGGCGAAGGCGGCUUUCUGGACUGUAACUGACGCUGAGGCAUGAAAGCGUGGGGAGCAAACAGGAUUAGAUACCCUGGUAGUCCCAGSCGUAAACGAUGAAUACUAGGUGUAGGAGGUUUCGACUCCUUCUGUGCCGCACUUAACACAAUAAGUAUUCCGCCUGGGGAGUUACGAUCGCCGAGUUUAAUACUCAUAGGCAUUGACGGGGGCCCGCACAAGCAGCGGAGCAUGUGGUUUACAUUCGACGCAACGCGAAGAACCUAUACCUAGACUUGACACUCUCCUGAAUUAUCCCUUAAUCUGGGGAAACCGUCGGGGCAGGAAGACAGGUGGUGCGUGGUUGUCGUCAGCUCGUGUCGUGAGAUGUUGGGUUAUGUCCCGCGCGAGCGCGACCCUUUUCAUUAGUUGCUACCAUUAAGUUGAGCACUCUAGUGAGACUGCCACGGAUAACGGGAAGGAAGGUGGGGAUGACGUCAAAUGAUCAUGCCCCUUAUGACUAGGGCUACACACGUGCAACAAUGGUGAAUACAAAUAGAUGCGAUACCGCGAGUGGAGCCAAACCACAAAAUCUCAUCCCAGUUCGGAUUGUAGUCUGAAACUCGACUACAGUGAAGCCGGAGUUGCUAGUAAUCGCGA
Molecule: ribosomal RNA, 1294 nt
Filed under: Clostridium sp. T2
Lineage: Bacteria; Bacillati; Bacillota; Clostridia; Eubacteriales; Clostridiaceae
Description: bacterial SSU rRNA
Rfam family: Bacterial small subunit ribosomal RNA
Source: RNAcentral